Molecule: long non-coding RNA, 3908 nt
Organism: Mus musculus (house mouse)
Lineage: Eukaryota; Metazoa; Chordata; Mammalia; Rodentia; Muridae
Product: predicted gene, 53932
Exons: 3
Source: RefSeq, a predicted model, not a curated record
AGGAAAUCAAGACCCAGAAAAAGUUACAUUACCUAGCUGAAUUAUGUUGUUCAUUUAUUCCAGAAAUAGUAAUUGAAGUCCUAUGUCUGCCAGGGUUUGUUCUAGUUUUGCUCUAAAAAUGGACCAAGGUACUGUUCUCAUUUCAUCAGAAAGAAUGAACGAGAAGACACGGUGAGCAUUAAUGGCAAACUGAAAAUAUGAAGGAGCAUUUUAUCUACAAUAAAAGUUGGACUGUGUCAAGUCUCUGAAGGGAAGCAAUGAAGAUAAUACACUUCCCUGGUAUUGACUAAACACUUGCUUCUAUAUGGGGCAUUCUGGACAAGAGAGAUCUGCAAGUGAUUCCAGAAGACCAAGAAAUCAAAGAGAAACAUUGGAGGUUCUACUUGUCAAAUGUGUAUGACUCUUCUGAUAAUUCAGAAGAGUGGAGAGAGCAAGACGAAAGGAAAGAGAGAAAAUUACAACUGUAAACAGACUCUGGACAGCGAAGGAUCAAAACAGCCUCUGGCUUGACUGGAUGAGUCAUAGCUAUAGUCAGACCACAAAUAGAAGCAUAGCUUCUCUGUUGAAGGGCAGUCUUCCUGUCUGGAGAGGAAACCCAGCUCUGAUUGGAGAUAGUAGUUUUUGCAGACUUCAAAGCAUCGCAAGCAACUGAACAGACAAGAGAAAGGGUUGGUAAACAGCGUUCCAGGUGCUACUCUGGAGAACCAGCCGCACAGCUCUGAUUUGAAGCUAUGUAGACAUACUUUCAUCGGAAGCCAAAAGCUGGUGGUUUGUUUGUAUGCUUGGUUUGUUUUUUUCUUCUGCUUCUUUCUAUAGUAUUACUCCCUUCUAGCAUCUGCAUCUAAUUUCAUCUCAAGUAAUGCAAGUUGUUCCUCCAGGCUCACACUCCAGGGCACAGAGAGAGAUUGGCAAAGGGCCAUCUAAGGAGGUAGGAGGAAGGCAAGGGCACGUGUUUUGAAACUACGAGGAAGGUGAUGCUUUCAACAGGGCAAGUCUGAGACUGAGAGGGUGUGGCAGAACAGAGGAACAUUCUAGUGGUUCCUACUAGGUAGACAAGCCAGUUUGGCCUCCUGAAUUUAGACUUUAACACUGAGUCUGGGUAUAGCUUAAAAUUUAGUGUAUAUGUGAGGAAGAAGAACAUGGAAAAUUGGAAUGAACGAAUGGGACCCGGUGUCGGAGCCUGAGUGCCAUUAAAGGUCUGGACUCUGUAUGCUGUGGAAACAGGGAGGCAAGAAACAGAGACUACGGAAAGAUGGGAACUCCAACCAUGGGAGGUAGAAUGAAGCAAGCUCAGGAAGGCCAACUACAUCUGCUGUCACUUGGAUGCUUGUCCAGCACAACGUAAGCCCCUGAACUUAGAAAGCACAUAGGAGAGACGAUGACAUCGAUAGAUCUAAUCGCUGGAGGAUAGCAACAUAAAAUGUUUUUUACCAGUACAUGUUUUGGUGUGUGUUAAGGUCAUUGAGCUGAGUAGAUGGGACCUGGAAAACUAUAUAGUCAGGUGAUUGAAAAUGACAAAUGCAUAAUUUCCAUUUGAUAGACAUAGGGGACAGGCAGUGAGGGAAAAGUUACCUGCACCAUGUGUUUGACAUUGGUGGUUUUGACUGACACAGGUUCACUACUUGCUCCACAUUUCCUUUCCAACCUACGCUAGUAGCUUUUCUAUCUGCUGUGAUAAAAUUCCCAGCUAAAGUGACCUACAGAGGAAGUAUGAAUUUAGACCUAAAGUUCCAGAGUACACAGGCCAUGGUGGCAGGGUAGGUGCAGGAGGCGAUGCGUCCUAUUACAUCUGUAAUCAGGAAGCAGGCAUAAUGAAAGAUGUUCAACCUCACUUUCUCAUUUCAUUCAAAUCGAAACCCCAGCCCAUAGAAUCAUACCUUCCACUUUCAGGGUGUCUUUUUCCACCUCAAUGAACCAAAUCUAGACUUAUUUAAAGGAUCGUUUCCAUACCGACUCAAGUUCUGGUCGAAUUGACAUUUGGUGUUAGCUAUCACACAGCUUUGAUUUCACCCUGAGUCUUGGCCCUUGGGAUCCCUGCAACACUGAACUUCUGUCAGGCAGCUGUGCCCUGGCUUCCUGUCUGAGGGUGGGUGAGUCACCUGUUCCCACUGGGUCCUGCAUUCCUCAUGUGUGAAAUGAGGAUGGGACAACAGUCUAGCUGUAUGUCUGGAACAAGAAGCACCUGUUGCCAGCAUUCUCUUUAAUAAGCAAGCAAGCAAACAAACAAAGCCAGCCAAUGAAUCCUUCCUGUCAUCAUCCAUGUCUUACAGAUGGCCUAAUAGAUGAUACAUUAAAUGAUACAUAAUGCUCAAAAGGCCAUAGGGUAACGUGUCCUGCUGACAGGCUCAGCCACCUCACUUUUAGCACCAUUCCUUCUACUCCAAGCAGGUGAUACUGAUGUCUAGAAGUAAACAAAGAAAUGUGCUCAGCUUCCCGAGAUUUCUCUUUUUAAUUAUUUUUAUUUAUGUACCUAUUGAGCUGUGUGGACUGCAUGCACGCAAGUGCCUAUUGAGGUCAGAAGUGAGCAUCAGAUCCCACAGAGCCAGAUGCAGAGGCAGUUGUGAGCUGUCUAAAACGGUGGCCGGGAACUGAAUUCAGGUCCUCUGGAAAUGCAGUGAGUUUUCCUAAGCCCUGAGCAGUCCCUUCAUUCCUGCUGUAAUUUUUAUUGAAUACACCAAGCUUUCAUUAGUUCUUCUUCAUAAAGCCAGACCAACAGCAAGGGAAUCAUUUUAAUGGGGUCACUGCAACAUUUUAGAAGUUGGAUUCAUUCUGUUUAAAACCACUUCCUUUCAUUGGGAUGCACGCAGCUGCCACGCUUCCUUCUGUGGGCAGAACUUCAUGGCCAGCUGCAGGAGGUUAUGCACUUGGAUGCAGUAAGCCGACGGACAAAGCAACUCCACAUUCUUUUCGUAAAACUUUGCGUCUCUCUGGCCAUUCGAGGACAAGAAUCCGGGGCCAAAAGGGACCCUGAGCUCAUGUAUGCCAUCACCCUGAACUCACGUAGUCCAACAGCUAUGCAGAGGUUUUAACGGUUUUCUUGAAUUAAGAUAUCACUUCAGGAUCCUGGACUUGUAGUUGUCCGUUUCCUCGUGACCGCUCCAGCUGCUUGCUCUGUAAUUAACUCACAUUUAACACAGCUGAAGCAAAGUCCACGGUACCAUCUCCAGGUUCCAAUUUUUCCUUUUGAGACCCACUCACUCUAACAACCUUAAACCUGCUCUUUGACAUCCAUUUCUUGAUUUUUUUUUUCAGUUAGUAAAUUCUGAUCAUCAUGUCCCCCCUCUAAGGCGUUUCUGUAUCUGUCCUUCUCUGCGUACUUUCCCUUUCCACACUCAAGACUACGGCACCGUCCUGCUCUAGGUGGCGUCACAACUGCUCCCUCACAACCCUUGGUGAUCACACCUGCACACCAUGGUUCUAAACAGGAUGCAUUUUCCAAUCUUACCAACCAUAGAACUUCUUUUUUUCACUCCCAGGGCCCUUUCUGGGAAAUACUUACUGGUCCAGCGUUUCCAGAUGAAUUGUUGUCCCCUCUCACUGUGACAUCUGUCCACCCCCUUUUGUCACUAAACUUGUUAUUUCCUCCGCUUAGAAUGCCCUUCUUCCUGGCUCCUGCCAUUGGGAAAGCCUACGCUGUUUCACGGCUCAGUUCAAAUGUUCCUUAUUCUCUGAAGCUGCCUUUGAUCUCACGACCUGGCAUGACCCCCACGGUUUUGGAGGACUAUGUACGUGAUUCUAUUAUAAUAUUUAACAACAUAUGCUAUGUAAAAUAUAUCACCUAAUAGUGCUAUACUGUAGAUGUGAGUCUAUUACAUAUUUAAUAAUUUAUAUAUAAAUUGCAGACAAUAUUUACUGUAAUUUAAAAAUUACAUGCUGGUUGUGUGUAUUUGAGUCUAUCUGCCAACAAU